GACGAACGCUGGCGGCGUGCUUAACACAUGCAAGUCGAACGGAAAGGCCCUGCUCUUGUGGGGUUCUCGUGUGGCGCGCGGGUGUGAAACACGUGUGUAACCCCCCCUUGACUUUGGGAUAUCUUCAGGAAACUGGGGCUAAUACCGGAUAGGAUCUUCUGCUGCGUGGGGGGGGUUGGAGAGUUUCGGCGGUUGGGGAUGGACUCGCGGCUUAUCAGUUUGUUGGUGGGGUAGUGGCUUACAAAGGCUUUGAGGGGUAGCCGGCCUGAGAGGGUGACCGGCAACAUUGGGCCUGGGAUACGCCCCAGCCGCCAACGGGAGGCAGCGGGGGGAAAUAUUGCACAAUGGGCGGAAGCCGGUGGCGGAAACCCCGCGGUCGGGAUAACGGCCUUCGGGUGGAAAACCGCUUUGGCCUUUAACAAGGCGUGAGUGACGGUAAUGGGUAAAGAAGCACCGGCUAACUACGUG
RNAcentral lists this ribosomal RNA (468 nucleotides) under uncultured bacterium. RNAcentral's name for it is "partial 16S ribosomal RNA". It matches the Rfam family "Bacterial small subunit ribosomal RNA", at positions 28 to 507 of the family's 1533-position model. The record is from RNAcentral.